GGAGUGGCAAGUGAAGAAGUCUUUAUUGAUACAGAGGGAAGCUUUAGGGUUGACAGAGUGGUAGAGCUUGCUAGUUCCUGCAUUCAGAAUAUUCACUUAUAGCAGGAACACACAUGGGAGAAGAACACCAAAGAGCAAGUUCGAUUAGUGAUAAUAGAUGGCAUCGAUUUCCUUUUCGUCAUGACCUUGAUGACCUAUCCCUUUGAACUUGAUUACUAACCCAGCAAAAUGAUCAGCCUUGCAAAUAAUCACAGAUUAGCUGUAAUUUUUACCAAUCAAAUGACAACAAAGAUUGAUAAAAAAAAAAAAAACAACCUUGCUGGUUCCUGCAUUAGGGGAGAGUUGGGGACAUGCUGUUACAAUAUGGCUAAUUUUUCAGUGGGACAGAAAGCAAAGGUUGGCAACAUUGUACAAAUCACCAAGCCAAAAGGAAUCCACAGUACUGUUUCAGAUCACACACCUCAGGGAUUUGGAGAUGCUGUUCCCACAGAAGGUUCACUGAAUAUCCAGAAAAGGUCAUGAAAACCAGAGGAAGAACAGUAACCCCAAAACAAAUCU
Molecule: long non-coding RNA, 558 nt
Filed under: Marmota monax (woodchuck)
Lineage: Eukaryota; Metazoa; Chordata; Mammalia; Rodentia; Sciuridae
Source: RNAcentral